AGGACGAACGCUGGCGGCGUGCUUAACACAUGCAAGUCGAACGCGCUGUACUCCUUCGGGUGUACAGCGAGUGGCGAACGGGUGAGUAACACGUGAGCAACCUGCCCUUGACUCUGGAAUAACAGCUGGAAACAGCUGCUAAUACCGGAUACGACCUCCGAUGGCAUCAUCUGGAGGUGGAAAGCUCCGACGGUCAAGG
RNAcentral lists this ribosomal RNA (199 nucleotides) under uncultured soil bacterium. RNAcentral describes it as "partial 16S ribosomal RNA". It matches the Rfam family "Bacterial small subunit ribosomal RNA", at positions 26 to 224 of the family's 1533-position model. The record is from RNAcentral.